GUGAUGGUUAUUGAUGAUUUUGUUUGCAGUGAAACAUGCUAGUUUACAAGUCUAUUUACACCCUAUAUAACCCUAUAUAACCCUGUUAUUUUGCCCUAGAAUGAAACUCUUUUUAUGGUGGGCUUGUGGGAACAAUUACAAAUUCUAAUCAUAGCUUUUAUUAACUGCCAUCGCCUUAGAUAUACACAGUGGUGUUUUCUGUUUUCUUGAAUGCAGACCUCAACAUCAGUCAGUGUGUUUAGGAAUACCUGGACAGUGAGUGAGAAAAGGAAAACACUCUGAAGACAGACCUUAUCUUUUAGAGAUUUCUACAAAAAACACUAAAAGAGACUAAAAAUAAUGUAGUAAUAAUAAAGUUGUACUAAAUGUAAAAAGAAUUAUAUAAAAAAGAAAAGAAUUCUAUAAAAAUCUGAUAUAUAUAUAUAUAUUCUGAAUAAAUGCUACACACACAACUACACUAAAAAUCUGAUAUAUAUAUUCUGAAUAAAUGCUACACACACAACUACACUACACAUACUGUAACUCUAUCAACAUUAUGAUCGCUAAAAUCUUUUUCUUUAAAUUCUAGGUAAAAAAAGCAAAGAAAAUUUUCUCUCUCCCCAUUGUUUCUCUUUAUCUCACUCACGUGUUCUCUUCGUUGAUUAUUGCUGUUACUAUAGCUAGGUCUGGCUCCACCUUUACAGUUGAAGCCCCUCCUGCUGUAUAAGAAUGAAAGAGUCAUCAGACACAGAGAUAAGACUGUGGAGGGACGUUUGAUCUGAGGUUGCACAAUAAGAAGAUGAUGGACACCUGUUGGGCUUCCAUGCUCUGCCUGCUCUCUUUUAUUUCAGCUUCUAUGUUGGUAAAUGGUGGCUCUUUUCAGAGUCUUCAUAACUACCAUGAAAUAGAGCUCUCCUGGCCUUGUCCUCACACUCCUGCUCACACACACACCGCUCUGUCAGUUCACUCUCUGAGGCCUGCAGACAUCACUGUGCUUUCUGCUGUCGGCCUUCCACACACACCCAGGAGUGUAGAGUCUGAGGUCAUGAAGCAGCUGCAUGGUGAGCUUAUAAACAACGCCCUGUUAAAAUAAUGAAUUUGUUAUGAUGAGCCAUAUGUGUGUAUGUGUCUCUAUGAAUGUGUAUGUAUGCUGAUUAUUUCUUCUACAACAAGACAUGUAAAACCUGUCCACAUUGUGCCGGGGUGUCUGCAGGUUUUUAUUCUGAAAAAUAAGCAGCAUGUCUGAUUCUACUUAUUUAUUUAUCAGUUGGCCAGUCUUUAAUUGGCUAAUUGUGCUUCUGUUUGGCUGGAAUAAACCCUUGCAGCCCUAACA
Molecule: long non-coding RNA, 1312 nt
Filed under: Astyanax mexicanus (Mexican tetra)
Lineage: Eukaryota; Metazoa; Chordata; Actinopteri; Characiformes; Acestrorhamphidae
Description: lncRNA (ENSAMXG00005024110.1)
Source: RNAcentral